Long non-coding RNA from Sander lucioperca (pikeperch), 381 nucleotides. RefSeq lists it as uncharacterized. NCBI's taxonomy places the organism in Eukaryota, Metazoa, Chordata, Actinopteri, Perciformes, Percidae. The transcript has 3 exons. The record is from RefSeq and is a predicted model, not a curated record.
UUUUACUUGAGUAAAUGCAUGAGAUUUACAGAGCAGGUGCACACCAGAGGCCUGUACUACGAAUCAAGAUCAACAUGCCCUGGAUUUCUUUCAGUUACCCGGCUUCACCUAACCUAACAACCAACAACUGCGGUCCUGCAUAAGCUGUAUCACGACGGUGGUUAACAACUAGUUCAAUCAACCCAGGGUUUCCCAAUCCAGCGGCGCGUGCGUUCACAUAAAAGAGGCGGUGUUUGCACAGCAUGACCAAUCGCAAACAUCUACCAGAGCCGCAUAUUUUACAUAAGAAGAACAAACUAUAAUUCUGCAUAAAUAUAAAGAAUACAGACACGGUUUUGCAGGCAAAAAGCAAUACAAUGGCACUCUCUCUCUCUCUCUCUC